CCACUCAACUGCUGCACAACCCUUGAGGCAUCUAAAUUCCCUAGGUACUUGAGUUCCUGCCACUGACCUUGCACAAAACUGCCAAAGUCCUGAUGUUGCUGAUAUGCUUAGAGCCAGGUCUUGCACAUCCUUGGAAGAAGAGAAUUGGACCCAUUGUAUUCUGCAGAAUGCAGGAGCCUAAAACCUAAGGCUUGUCUACAUGAACCUGCAGUUGGGACUACUGGGGCAUGCACCAGAGGGCUGCACUAUAAGUGCCCUGGGUGGACACAGCUGGCACAAACUAAAAGAUGUGUUUAAGAGCCAGGCUGCUUCCUGCAUCUUCAGUGUCCCGCCUGGCUUAGCUGAUGUGGAGAGACCAUUUUCGAAAUUCAGCUACAUCCAAGACUGCAGGAGAACAAGCCUUGGAAAAAACAUUUUGAAAAAACUGCUCCAAGCCUACGUUACCCAGGACAUUUGGAAUUUACACUGAAGCCCCUACAUCAAGCAUAACAACAGCAAACUGUUUUUAAAAGAACACAAACCCCAGCACUACACGGCUUUUACUUACAAUACUUUUAACUUUUUGCUAUUUGUUGUUGUCCUGUCCCCCCUAAUAUUAAGCCAGUUAUUUACCCGGAAACUGUGAAGUUAAUUUUUGCAAUUCUUCCAUUGACCGUACC
Long non-coding RNA from Mauremys reevesii (Reeves's turtle), 659 nucleotides. RefSeq lists it as uncharacterized. Lineage: Eukaryota; Metazoa; Chordata; Testudines; Geoemydidae. The record is from RefSeq and is a predicted model, not a curated record. The transcript has 3 exons.